RNAcentral lists this ribosomal RNA (1007 nucleotides) under Salmonella enterica. RNAcentral's name for it is "bacterial LSU rRNA". It matches the Rfam family "Bacterial large subunit ribosomal RNA", at positions 140 to 1187 of the family's 2925-position model. Lineage: Bacteria; Pseudomonadati; Pseudomonadota; Gammaproteobacteria; Enterobacterales; Enterobacteriaceae. The record is from RNAcentral.
UCGUCACACUAUCAUUAACUGAAUCCAUAGGUUAAUGAGGCGAACCGGGGGAACUGAAACAUCUAAGUACCCCGAGGAAAAGAAAUCAACCGAGAUUCCCACAGUAGCGGCGAGCGAACGGGGAGGAGCCCAGAGCCUGAAUCAGCAUGUGUGUUAGUGGAAGCGUCUGGAAAGGCGCGCGAUACAGGGUGACAGCCCCGUACACAAAAGCGCAUGUGUUGUGAGCUCGAUGAGUAGGGCGGGACACGUGGUAUCCUGUCUGAAUAUGGGGGGACCAUCCUCCAAGGCUAAAUACUCCUGACUGACCGAUAGUGAACCAGUACCGUGAGGGAAAGGCGAAAAGAACCCCGGCGAGGGGAGUGAAAAAGAACCUGAAACCGUGUACGUACAAGCAGUGGGAGCACCCUUUGGGGUGUGACUGCGUACCUUUUGUAUAAUGGGUCAGCGACUUAUAUUCUGUAGCAAGGUUAACCGAAUAGGGGAGCCGGAGGGAAACCGAGUCUUAAUUGGGCGUUAAGUUGCAGGGUAUAGACCCGAAACCCGGUGAUCUAGCCAUGGGCAGGUUGAAGGUUGGGUAACACUAACUGGAGGACCGAACCGACUAAUGUUGAAAAAUUAGCGGAUGACCUGUGGCUGGGGGUGAAAGGCCAAUCAAACCGGGAGAUAGCUGGUUCUCCCCGAAAGCUAUUUAGGUAGCGCCUCGUGAAUUCAUCUCCGGGGGUAGAGCACUGUUUCGGCUAGGGGGCCAUCCCGGCUUACCAACCCGAUGCAAACUGCGAAUACCGGAGAAUGUUAUCACGGGAGACACACGGCGGGUGCUAACGUCCGUCGUGAAGAGGGAAACAACCCAGACCGCCAGCUAAGGUCCCAAAGUCAUAGUUAAGUGGGAAACGAUGUGGGAAGGCCCAGACAGCCAGGAUGUUGGCUUAGAAGCAGCCAUCAUUUAAAGAAAGCGUAAUAGCUCACUGGUCGAGUCGGCCUGCGCGGAAGAUGUAACGGGGCUAAAC